CCCUAUGGGUCUCUAUGGGUCUCUAUGGGUCUCUAUGGGUCUCUAUGGGUCUCUAUGGGUCUCUAUGGGUCCCUAUGGGUCUCUAUGGGUCUCUAUGGGUCCCUAUGGGUCUCUAUGGGUCUCUAUGUGUCUCUAUGGGUCUCUAUGGGUUUCUAUGGGGUCCCUAUAGGUCUCUAUGGGUCUCUAUGGGGUCCGUAGGUCUCGGUGUCCGUUGGGGGCUCGCUGUUGCUCCGUGACACUGUGGGUUCCCUGCAGUCUCUAUGGGGUUAUGGGGUCUCUAUAGGGUCCUUAUGGGGUCCUUAUGGGGUUAUGGGGUUAUAGAGUCCCUUUAGGGUCCUUAUGGAGUCCUUAUUGGGUCAUAUGGGAUCCUUAUGGGGUCACAUAGCAUCCUUAUGGGGUCCUUAUGGGGUAAUGGGGUUAUGGGGUCUCUAUAGGAUCCUUAUGGGGUCGUAUGGGGUCCUUAUGUGAUCCUUAUGGGGUUAUAGGGCUAUAGCGUCCCUAUAGGGUCCUUAUGGGGCCAUAUGAAAUCCUUAUGGGGUCCUUAUGGGGUCCCUAUGGGGUUAUGGGGUCCUUAUGGGGUUUUAGGUUCCUUAUAGGAAUCUUAUGGGGUCCUUAUGGGAUAAUGGGGUUAUGGGGCCCUUACGGGAUCCUUAUGGGGUCCUUAUGGAAUCCCUAUGGGAUUAUGAGGUUAUAGGGUCCCUAUAGGGUCCUUAUGGGGUCUUUAUAGGGUAGUGAUGUUAUGGAGCCCUUAUGGGGCCCUUAUGGGGUCCCUAUGGGGUAAUGGGGUUAUGGGGUCCCUAUAGGUCCCUUAUAGGGUCUCUAUGGGGUCCCUAUGGGGUAGUAGUGCUAUAGGGUCCCUAUAGGAUACUUAUAGGGUCCUUAUGGGGUCCUUACGGGGUCCCUAUGGGGUAAUGGGGUUAUGGGGUCCCUAUAGGUCCUUAUAAGGUCCCUAUAGGAUCCUUAUAGGGUCCCUAUGGGGUCCCUAUGGGUCUCUAUGGGGUCCGUAGGUCUCGGUGUCCAUUGGGGGCUCGCUGUUGCUCCGUGACACCGUGGGUUCCCUUCGGUCUCUAUGGGAACGAACGAGCUUCGAACUCGAGAAGCUUCAAUGCGAACCCAACUGCGCAUGCGCGGAGGAACGAGAACUCCGGUACCGCCAGGGGGCGCAAUAUUCCAUCAACUUCCGGCCUGUGGCUACGCUGCCCAAACUCGUUGGCUCUGUGGGUCCCCGCGUUGCGGUGCUACGUGAGGAGGGCAGCAAUGGGGACAGGGAGAUGGCGGCCGCCUUCCACAUGGCGGGAUUCCAGGUCUGACCCACACUUAUGGGGCGGGAUGUGGGGCAACACGCUAAAUCCCAUUGGCCGCCAUCUUGGAUCCCAUGGGCGCCAUAUUGGAUCCCAUUGGCCACCAUAUUGGAUCCCAUUGACCGCCAUAUUGGGCGCCAUCUUGGAUCCCAUUGGCCGCCAUCUUGGAUCCCAUUGGCCGCCAUUUUGGAUCCCAUUGGCCGCCAUGUUGGAUCCCAUUAGCCACCAUAUUGGGCGCCAUAUUGGAUCCCAUUGUCCGCCAUCUUGGAUCCCACUGGCCGCCAUCUUGGAUCCCAUUGGGCGCCAUCUUGGAUCCCAUUGGGCGCCAUAUUGGAUCCCAUUGGGGUUCCCAUUGGGCGCCAUAUUGGAUCCCAUUGGGGUUCCCAUUGGGCGCCAUAUUGGAUCCCAUUGGGGUUCCCAUUGGGCGCCAUAUUGGAUCCCAUUGGGCGCCAUAUUGGAUCCCAUUGACCGCUAUAUUGGGCACCAUAUUGGAUCCCAUUGGGUGCCAUAUUGGAUCCCCUUGGCUGCCAUAUUGGAUCCCAUUGGCCGCCAUAUUGGGCGCCAUCUUGGAUCCCAUUGGCUGCCAUAUUGGAUCCCAUUAGCCGCCAUAUUGGGCGCCAUAUUGCAUCCCAUUGGGCGCCAUCUUGGAUCCCAUUGGGCGCCAUCUUGGAUCCCACUGGCCGCCAUCUUGGAUCCCAUUGGCCGCCAUCUUGGAUCCCAUUGGCCGCCAUAUUGGAUUGACCCAUUGUGGUUCCCAUUUGUAGGGUCCCCCCCUCGCCCCCCAUAUCCCAACCCCAUAACCGUGACCCCACUGCUGCCCCAU
Molecule: long non-coding RNA, 2124 nt
Organism: Coturnix japonica (Japanese quail)
Lineage: Eukaryota; Metazoa; Chordata; Aves; Galliformes; Phasianidae
Source: Ensembl